CACAGAGCCUAUAACCUGGACGAAUUGGAUCAUGUGAUCACUGAGGGUCUGGCCCCAAUUGCGGCGACACGUUGUUUGUGUUAAGUAAGCACUUGGCGCACAUUAGAAGCUCGUAACAUCUAUCUCCUACAAAUGGGGAAGAAUCUCAAAUUGUCUCUCCAUUUCACUUCUCCUCUUUCCUCCCCCUUAGAAAAUACCCAGCCGUAGCUCUCUCUCUCUCUCUCUCACUCUAUGCUACAACCACUUUUCAUCUUCCUCUCGAAACCCUAACCCUAGUUUCAGCAUUUCAUCUCUCAAAAAUCACCACAAUUUCAAAUUCUUGCAUCUGAUUUCUAUCAAAUCCUGGGAAUUACAAACUUCUGAAUAUCUGGAUAGAGGAGUUGUUGAAUCUGUUGUUGUUUCUCUCGAUUGAGACCCUAGGAUUUUGGCAUUCUGAGUAGGCAGUAGCAGGGCUGGGCCCAAGAUCAAGGAGGUGGACUAAGGUGCAAUCCAUCAUUGGCUAUGGUGGGUUUACUGGAAAAGAAGAUUGAAGAAAUGCAAUUGGAAGAGAUGCAGCUUCAAUUGAAAGAAACUGAAAAGAUGCUAGUGAAGGAACAAGAGGCUAUGGACCGUUGUCACUUUCAAGGCCAUUCUUUUGAUAUUGUAUUAGCCUUUCAGAUGUGGAGUUGGGCGGCACAAGGACUAUUGCAUAAGCUCUUGUAAGGUCCAAACAGGUAGAGUUGGCUAUCAAAACUUCAGAUGAGAAUGCAAACAAGGAUCGAUCAGAGAGAGUUUUCUAGAUGACUGAAAUUGAUGAUCUGCAAGCCCCUCGUGACCUUCCUCUUGCACAACUUUGUAUCAAGAUGUGAAAUAUUUCAGAUUUUUGGUGGAUCUCAACAUACUUUACGUGCAAAACUCACAUUCUCACAAGAAUCACAUGGUAUGACUGAGAUUCCAACCUAUGACUUCGCAAGAAAAUGAAACAUCACAAAGGAAGCUGGACCUAUAAGCAUGAUUUUCACCAUACUAAUAUAUAAUGCUUCAAAGCUUCAGGUGAGUUGGUCUUUUGACUAUAAAGGAAAAUUCUACAUGCUUCUUUCUUCAUUUGUUUCUUUCUUUUUCUUGAGAGGUAAGCUAAGCGAAUCCUAAUUAAUGUUGAAAACACCAUCUACAAAACAUUGAGUUA
Molecule: long non-coding RNA, 1165 nt
Organism: Magnolia sinica
Lineage: Eukaryota; Viridiplantae; Streptophyta; Magnoliopsida; Magnoliales; Magnoliaceae
Exons: 8
Source: RefSeq, a predicted model, not a curated record